RNAcentral lists this ribosomal RNA (495 nucleotides) under uncultured Sphingobacteriales bacterium. RNAcentral describes it as "bacterial SSU rRNA". It matches the Rfam family "Bacterial small subunit ribosomal RNA", at positions 884 to 1382 of the family's 1533-position model. Lineage: Bacteria; Pseudomonadati; Bacteroidota; Sphingobacteriia; Sphingobacteriales. The record is from RNAcentral.
CCAGCCCGCUCAGAAACUCAAAGGAACUUGACGGGGGCCCGCACAAGCGGUGGAGCAUGUGGUUAAUUCGAUGAUACGCGAGGAACCUUACCUGGGCUCAAAUGUAUGUUGACGUAUUCUGAAAGGGAUACUUCUUCGGACAAUAUACAAGGUGCUGCAUGGUUGUCGUCAGCUCGUGCCGUGAGGUGUCGGGUUAAGUCCCAUAACGAGCGCAACCCCUAUCAUUAGUUGCCAUCAGGUCAAGCUGGGGACUCUAAUGAAACUGCCUACGCAAGUAGUGAGGAAGUGGGGAUGACGUCAAAUCAGCACGGCCCUUACGUCCAGGGCUACACACGUGCUACAAUGGCCGGUACAAAGGGCAGCUACCUGGUGACAGGAUGCUAAUCUCAAAAGCCGGUCUCAGUUCGGAUCGGAGUCUGCAACCCGACUCCGUGAAGCUGGAAUCGCUAGUAAUCGCGCAUCAGCCAUGGCGCGGUGAAUACGUUCCCGGGCCUU